Molecule: long non-coding RNA, 1525 nt
Organism: Homo sapiens (human)
Lineage: Eukaryota; Metazoa; Chordata; Mammalia; Primates; Hominidae
Product: long intergenic non-protein coding RNA 2487
Source: Ensembl
AUAAUUGGAUUGUGGAUAAUUUCCUUAUCUCAAAACAAAAUGAUGGCAGGAAAAUUGCCGAGCUUAUUUCUCUUUGAUCUGUGGCACUGGCUGGAUGGUAGAAGCAGAAUGCCACCCUCCAUUUAGCUGAUGACGAUGACCCACAUCUCCUUGCCUUCCCAGCAGCUCUCGGUGGGGUCUCUGUUGGGAAUGCCUGCUGAGACGGGACCAAGGACGGCUGCAGGAUGUGGUGUCUGUGCUCAGCGUCACCUCCUCCCAGGCUCCUGGGAAGCACCUGAGCAUCUCCUGACAAAGCCACCAUGAGCAAGACCCUCAGAGAAGGUAUGAAGAUGAGAGGCUGGUGUGAAGAGGCUGCUGUGAAGCAACUAUAUAGCAUCGGGCAGGACAUAAGGGGAAAUUGUUGCUUUCAUGUUCCUUUACCCCCACAGUUUGGAUUUCUGCCACAAGGAUCACUGUGGUCUUCCUCCCUGGGGCUCACUCCACCUACCCCACACCUCCCACCUCCCCCGUCCUCUCUUGGGGGACUUCCUGAGUUCUCGACAGAGCAGUUUCACUGUCUUCUCUCCACGCUUCCUGGACUGGCCCGCCCAUUUUUUUCUAUGACCCAGAAUUCCUUCCCAAAUAAGAGCGUCAUAUUCCUUGAGCCCCUUCACUAGAAGCAAGGAGAUGGGCAGGCGUUGAACUGCGGCUUUUCUCUAGACUCUUCCCUAAUCCCUAGGUUCCCCCAACUAUUUAGUCUAGAGCAAGCCCAGGAACAGUGAUUUUUUUUUUUUAACCUGCCAUUUCUGUUAUUCAAGCUGUUUUAGUCAGUUCAGGCUGCUGUAACAAAAAUGCAAUGGCCUGGGUGGUUUUAACAACAGAAAUGGAUUUCUCACAGUUCUUGUGAGGCUGGGACGCAGGAACCCCCACAUCCAAGUGCCAGGCAGUUCCGUGGCUGGGAGGGCUCCAGACUGGUGUGUGGAUGGCACCUUCUGCUGUGUCCUCACAUGGCUGAGAGAUGGGUCAUCUCUGUUCUUAUCAGGGCACUAAUCCCAUUCACAAGGCCCCCCAUGACCUAAUCACCUCCUAAAUGCCCCGCUUCCUAAUACCAGCACCUUGGAAAAUAGGGCUUCAAGAUACAAAUUUUGGGGGACUCAAACAUUCCAUCCAUAGCACCCGCUCAUGUGCUGUGAUGUCCAGUGAGCAGGCGGAGUUCCAGGGCUGGUCAGUGCCAGGUGCUCCUUCUCCCACCCGAGAACAGGGGCCAGGUUGCUCCUCAGGCACCCUGGGCAACUGCCCCUUCCCUUCCAGUGGGGCCUGACCUGGCUACCGAGCUUGGCAGCUAAUAGGCGGGCCCCUCAGCAUUCACGCUCCUGAGCUGCUUUAUCAAACUAGGAUUGUUCCCCCAGGUCUAAGAAAACCAUCCAUUCACUGCAAAGUUAUUUAUUACUGCGGAUGGGCUAGGAGUUAGAGGAAGAGAGUGACUCAAAUCACAACACCUCCUGGACGAAGCUGGAAGGGAUUAAAAUACGGCCUAAUUUCUCCC